RNAcentral lists this ribosomal RNA (253 nucleotides) under uncultured bacterium. Its description in RNAcentral is "partial 16S ribosomal RNA". It matches the Rfam family "Bacterial small subunit ribosomal RNA", at positions 524 to 776 of the family's 1533-position model. The record is from RNAcentral.
UACGAAGGGGGCUAGCGUUGCUCGGAAUCACUGGGCGUAAAGCGCACGUAGGCGGCGCCGUAAGUCAGGGGUGAAAUCCCGGAGCUCAACUCCGGAACUGCCCUUGAAACUGCAGUGCUAGAAUCUUGGAGAGGCGAGUGGAAUUCCGAGUGUAGAGGUGAAAUUCGUAGAUAUUCGGAGGAACACCAGUGGCGAAGGCGGCUCACUGGUCCAUUACUGACGCUGAGGUGCGAAAGCGUGGGGAGCAAACAGG